UUGCACAGUGAACACCCAAGUGUGCUUUAUAGUUCCGAAUUUGGCUUUGACUCUGUGCUAGAGCAAUGUCUGUUAUUUUACUCUGCAUUGAAAGGAGCAUUUAUCCUUUCAGAUGUAUUCAGAAAGCCAGCACAUUU
Small nucleolar RNA from Colobus angolensis palliatus, 137 nucleotides. Lineage: Eukaryota; Metazoa; Chordata; Mammalia; Primates; Cercopithecidae. The record is from Ensembl.